GUCCUUGGAGCACAAUGGAUAGCUCGUUAGAUUUUGAAUCUAAAGGUCGUGGUUUUCUAUCCUACCUGAGAUG
Non-coding RNA from Trichonephila inaurata madagascariensis, 73 nucleotides. The record is from the annotation of a GenBank genome assembly. Lineage: Eukaryota; Metazoa; Arthropoda; Arachnida; Araneae; Nephilidae.